This 468-nucleotide ribosomal RNA is filed under the name uncultured bacterium. RNAcentral describes it as "partial 16S ribosomal RNA". It matches the Rfam family "Bacterial small subunit ribosomal RNA", at positions 28 to 507 of the family's 1533-position model. The record is from RNAcentral.
GACGAACGCUGGCGGCGUGCCUAAUACAUGCAAGUCGAACGGAAAGGUCCUGCGUUUGUGGGGUGCUCGAGUGGCGAACGGGUGAGUAAAACGUGAGUAAACUGUCCUUGACUUUGGGAUAACUUUAGGAAACUGGGGCUAAUACCGGAUAGGAGCUCCUGCUGCAUGGUGGUGGUUGGAAAGAUUUGGCGGUAUGAGCUGGACUCGCUGCUUAUCAGCUUGUUGGUGGGGUAGUGGCUUACCAAGGCUUUGACGGGUAGCCGGCCUGAGAGGGUGAACGGCCACAUUGGGACUGAGAUACGGACCAGACUCCUACGGGAGGCAACAGUGGGGAAUAUUGCGCAAUGGGCGGAAGCCUGAUGCAGCAACGCCGCGUGCGGAAUGACGGCCUUCGAGUUGUAAACCGCUUUCGACUGUGACGAAGCGUGAGUGACGGUAAUGGGUAAGGAAGCACCGGCUAACUACGUG